CCUACGGGAGGCAGCAGUGGGGAAUAUUGGACAAUGGGGGCAACCCUGAUCCAGCCAUGCUGCGUGUGUGAAGAAGGCCCUCGGUUUGUAAAGCACUUUCAGUGAGGAAGAACGCCUGGUGGUUAAUACCCAUCAGGAAAGACAUCACUCACAGAAGAAGCACCGGCUAACUCCGUGCCAGCAGCCGCGGUAAUACGGAGGGUGCGAGCGUUAAUCGGAAUUACUGGGCGUAAAGCGCGCGUAGGUGGCUUGAUAAGCCGGUUGUGAAAGCCCCGGGCUCAACCUGGGAACGGCAUCCGGAACUGUCAAGGUAGAGUGCAGGAGAGGAAGGUAGAAUUCCCGGUGUAGCGGUGAAAUGCGUAGAGAUCGGGAGGAAUACCAGUGGCGAAGGCGGCCUUCUGGACUGACACUGACACUGAGGUGCGAAAGCGUGGGUAGCAAACAGGAUUAGAUACCCUAGUAGUC
Molecule: ribosomal RNA, 465 nt
Filed under: Vreelandella stevensii
Lineage: Bacteria; Pseudomonadati; Pseudomonadota; Gammaproteobacteria; Oceanospirillales; Halomonadaceae
Description: partial 16S ribosomal RNA
Rfam family: Bacterial small subunit ribosomal RNA
Source: RNAcentral